This 626-nucleotide ribosomal RNA is filed under the name uncultured bacterium. RNAcentral describes it as "bacterial SSU rRNA". The stretch from base 1 to 536 matches the Rfam family "Bacterial small subunit ribosomal RNA", at positions 338 to 873 of the family's 1533-position model. The record is from RNAcentral.
CCUACGGGAGGCAGCAGUAAGGAAUAUUGGUCAAUGGACGAAAGUCUGAACCAGCCAUGCCGCGUGAAGGAUUAAGGCCCUCUGGGUUGUAAACUUCUUUUAUCUGGGACGAAGAAAGGGUAUUCUUACUCACUUGACGGUACCAGAGGAAUAAGCACCGGCUAACUCCGUGCCAGCAGCCGCGGUAAUACGGAGGGUGCAAGCGUUAUCCGGAUUUACUGGGUUUAAAGGGUGCGUAGGUGGGCUUGUAAGUCAGUGGUGAAAUCUCCGGGCUUAACCCGGAAACUGCCAUUGAUACCAUAGGUCUUGAAUUAUCUGGAGGUAAGCGGAAUAUGUCAUGUAGCGGUGAAAUGCUUAGAUAUGACAUAGAACACCAAUUGCGAAGGCAGCUUACUACGGAUACAUUGACACUGAGGCACGAAAGCGUGGGGAUCAAACAGGAUUAGAUACCCUGGUAGUCCACGCCCUAAACGAUGGAUACUCGACAUACAGCGAUACACUGUUGGUUGUCUGAGAGAAGACAUAGUAGUACCACCGUACGGAGGUACGAGCGUCGAGAGUUAGUUAACGUACGAAUUAGUAAGUUAGAGGCGUGAGAGNGCGACGGACGACGACGAGGGAGGAGG